GGAUCUCCGCGUUGGAGGAAGAGGGAGUCGAAAGAGGCUUCCACUCUUUGAAAAAGACCCAAUGGUGGUUGGGCUUCGGGUCACGUGACACCUUCUUUGUAGCUCCGGAAGAGGAUUGUGAAGUUUAGGUUUCGUGGAAGAAACCGAUAAUUGAGGAAAAAAAUCAAGAUUUGGGGGGAAUUACCUACAAAGAUGUAAGGUGUGUUAAUUUGGGCGCUUCUUGGAUUCUACCCUGAGGAGGAGGCGCGUGGUGAGAGGAGAGAUCUUGAUCUGCCGCUCGCUGAGGUUCAGCAGGUUGGCCAUCUCUACACGGCGAGGCCGGCACAGGUAGCGGUUAAAAUGGAACUCCUUCUCCAGCUCCACCAGCUGUGCGCUCGUGUACGCCGUCCGCGCCCGCUUGGACGCCGCCG
This 410-nucleotide non-coding RNA is filed under the name Pan troglodytes (chimpanzee). The record is from RNAcentral. Lineage: Eukaryota; Metazoa; Chordata; Mammalia; Primates; Hominidae.